AGUGAACGCUGGCGGCAGGCCUAAUACAUGCAAGUCGAACGGCAGCACAGCAGAGCUUGCUCUGUGGGUGGCGAGUGGCGGACGGGUGAGGAAUACAUGGGAAUCUGCCCAGUCGUGGGGGAUAGCGUAGGGAAACUUACGCUAAUACCGCAUGCGCCCUUCGGGGGAAAGCCGGGGACCUUCGGGCCUGGCGCGAUUGGAUGAGCCCAUGUCGGAUUAGCUAGUUGGCGGGGUAAAGGCCCACCAAGGCGACGAUCCGUAGCUGGUCUGAGAGGAUGAUCAGCCACACUGGAACUGAGACACGGUCCAGACUCCUACGGGAGGCAGCAGUAGGGAAUAUUGGACAAUGGGCGCAAGCCUGAUCCAGCCAUGCCGCGUGAGUGAAGAAGGCCCUCGGGUUGUAAAGCUCUUUUGUCCGGAAAGAAAAGCGCCGGGUUAAUACCCUGGUGUCCUGACGGUACCGGAAGAAUAAGCACCGGCUAACUUCGUGCCAGCCGCCGCAGUAA
This 506-nucleotide ribosomal RNA is filed under the name uncultured bacterium. Its description in RNAcentral is "partial 16S ribosomal RNA". It matches the Rfam family "Bacterial small subunit ribosomal RNA", at positions 29 to 523 of the family's 1533-position model. The record is from RNAcentral.